AACGUAGGAGGCAAGCGUUAUCCGGAGUUACUGGGCGUAAAGCGCGUGUAGGCGGCUCGGUAAGUGGGUCGUGAAAGCACCCGGCUAAACUGGGUGAGGACGAUCGAGACUGCCGUGCUCGAGGGUGGUAGAGGGACAGGGAAUUCCGGGUGUAGCGGUGAAAUGUGUAGAGAUCCGGAGGAACACCAGUGGCGAAGGCGCUGUCCUGGGCCACCUCUGACGCUGAUACGCGAAGGCGUGGGGAGCGAACGGG
Molecule: ribosomal RNA, 253 nt
Filed under: uncultured prokaryote
Description: partial 16S ribosomal RNA
Rfam family: Bacterial small subunit ribosomal RNA
Source: RNAcentral